AGUGAACGCUGGCGGUAGGCCUAACACAUGCAAGUCGAACGGCAGCACAGUAAGAGCUUGCUCUUACGGGUGGCGAGUGGCGGACGGGUGAGGAAUACAUCGGAAUCUACUUUUUCGUGGGGGAUAACGUAGGGAAACUUACGCUAAUACCGCAUACGACCUACGGGUGAAAGCAGGGGAUCUUCGGACCUUGCGCGAUUGAAUGAGCCGAUGUCGGAUUAGCUAGUUGGCGGGGUAAAGGCCCACCAAGGCGACGAUCCGUAGCUGGUCUGAGAGGAUGAUCAGCCACACUGGAACUGAGACACGGUCCAGAGUCCUACGGGAGGCAGCAGUGGGGAAUAUUGGACAAUGGGCGCAAGCCUGAUCCAGCCAUACCGCGUGGGUGAAGAAGGCCUUCGGGUUGUAAAGCCCUUCUGUUGGGAAAGAAAAGCAGCAGGUUAAUACCCCGCUGUUCUGACGGUACCCAAAGAAUAAGCACCGGCUAACUUCGUG
RNAcentral lists this ribosomal RNA (492 nucleotides) under uncultured bacterium. RNAcentral describes it as "partial 16S ribosomal RNA". It matches the Rfam family "Bacterial small subunit ribosomal RNA", at positions 29 to 507 of the family's 1533-position model. The record is from RNAcentral.